CUAGCCGGUACUCGCGAAUGCUCUAGAUUAGAGUUUGAUCAUGGGCUCAGGCAUGAACGCUGGCGGCGUGCCUAAUACAUGCAAGUCGAGCGAAUGGAUUAAGAGCUUGCUCUUAUGAAGUUAGCGGCGGACGGGUGAGUAACACGUGGGUAACCUGCCCAUAAGACUGGGAUAACUCCGGGAAACCGGGGCUAAUACCGGAUAACAUUUUGAACCGCAUGGUUCGAAAUUGAGAGGCGGCUUCGGCUGUCACUUAUGGAUGGACCCGCGUCGCAUUAGCUAGUUGGUGAGGUAACGGCUCACCAAGGCAACGAUGCGUAGCCGACCUAGAGAGGGUGAUCGGCCACACUGGGACUGAGACACGGCCCAGACUCCUACGGGANGCAGCAAGUAGGGAAUCUUCCGCAAUGGACGAAAGUCUGACGGAGCAACGCCGCGUGAGUUGAUGAAGGCUUUUCGGGGUCGUAAAACUCUGUUGUUAGGGAAGAACCAGUNGCUAGUUGAAUAAGCUNGCACCUUGACGGUACCUUAAACCCANGGAAAAAAGGCCCCACAGGGGUUAAACCUAACCGGUUAGGCGCCAAGGCNAGGCCCCGCCGGGGGAAAUAACACGGCNAAAAGGAGGGGCCAAGNGCGUUAUUAUNCCCGAGAGAAAAAUAGGGGGGGGCGAAAAAAGCGGCGGCCACCAGGGGNGGGUCUNCUCUAAGGCCUGAGANGAAACC
RNAcentral lists this ribosomal RNA (722 nucleotides) under uncultured bacterium. Its description in RNAcentral is "bacterial SSU rRNA". The stretch from base 31 to 566 matches the Rfam family "Bacterial small subunit ribosomal RNA", at positions 9 to 546 of the family's 1533-position model. The record is from RNAcentral.